This is a small nuclear RNA of Sorex fumeus (smoky shrew), 107 nucleotides long. NCBI's taxonomy places the organism in Eukaryota, Metazoa, Chordata, Mammalia, Eulipotyphla, Soricidae. The record is from RefSeq and is a predicted model, not a curated record.
AUGCUCACGUCAGAAGCACAUGUAAUAAAAUUGGAACCACAGAGAGAAAAUUGGCAUGGCCCCUGCACAAGGACAAUAUGCAAAUUUGUGGAGCAUUCCAGAUGUUU